Cyclopterus lumpus (lumpfish) is the source of this 1735-nucleotide long non-coding RNA. RefSeq lists it as uncharacterized. Lineage: Eukaryota; Metazoa; Chordata; Actinopteri; Perciformes; Cyclopteridae. The record is from RefSeq and is a predicted model, not a curated record. The transcript has 5 exons.
GAUUGUGUUUCAGUUGCCCUUGCUGGGCACCUGACCUCUGAGAGCAAGAAAGAGAAACAAUAUUUUCACCCUCCCCUCUCUAUCCUUCGUGUGUUUUGGGUGACAGCUGUGCUGAGCAGGGAGGAGUCUUCAGCUGCUGAUGACAGGCCAAAACCUCCCCAUCGCCACCAAAAGCGGGCUUGGGCAAGACUUUUGGGCUCAAUGUCAAAUGUGCGGCGUCUGAACGGCGUCCUAGCUGACAUGAUUUGGUCUCCGAGAAGCUGCAUCAUCUGAAACGGCAGCUCCUGUUUCUGUCAAGGGAAGAAGUAGGCCUCUGUCCCUCUGAAGACAGUAAACGGGCCACAUAAAUAGAGUGGCAGGAUGGAGAGGAAAUGAGCGAGGAUCCAUCUUCAACGCACCGGAGAGAAACAGCUGUUUCAGCUUCAAUAUAUUGAAUUCCAAGAAGCGGCGGAGCUCCUUUAUUUCACAGACAGGACGGAGACAGAGAGAGGAGCGGAGGAGAGAGGAGAGUUGGAGACAGGAGCAGUCAUCCCUGUCGCAUGUGAUAUUAUAGCCUGAUCAAAAAACACCGAAAUUGGAAAGAGGGAACACGCAGAGUUCAGAGAAAACCACGUCCUACCUGUGAAAUAAAGGAGCUUCUUGGAAUUCAAUAUAUUGAAGCUAAAAGAGUUCACCGCUGCUGGUUUGCUUUGCUGGUGAUAUUACUCAUACCUCUGUGCACAGACUAAUAACACUGUGCAGGAAAGUCAUUGAAGUGUCAGAUAUCUGUGGUCUUCCAGAGUCCCUGCAAUGUAAGAAAUACACUUUGCUUGCUUUGUUUUUCAUUGUUUUUCCACAUAUAAAAAAAACAAACAUGCUCUGGUUUUUUUCUUCUUAGACCUUUUCAUGGGUAAUUUUUUGGUUCUGUAAAGUAAUUGUCAGGAUCCUGUCUGACCCAUUGUGUGUUAACCUCUGUUUCCCCACAAUCUCCUCUCCUCAUGUGUCUGUUUUUUUCUCUUAUGCCAUGUGCUCGGUGUUUUUCUCAGGCCGCCUCCAGACACCUCCCGUGGCCACAUCCCUGAUUGGUGCACAGCUGCGGACAAUCUGGACAGUCCUGCAGGUCUCGGUUGUCAGUCCGUAUUGUCUUCUGCCUCGAGUACCUGUCAGAUCUGCCAGCCUCCGGUGUCGAGCCACGGGACUUCACACCGUCGAUCUACUAGCCGGAUACUGUCUCCUGUGGUCUUGCUAUUGGGUCCAAACCUUGAACUCCAGUGACAGAAUGGACUGACCAGUAUGGAUCCAGCCACCACAGGAGCAGCGACACUGGCUGGACGUAUAGCACGCUGCUGGAGGAACACCAGCAGAUGCUCAAAGAGAUGUUUAAGGCACGGAGAUCCAUCGCAUCUGAUGUUUCUCAGAUUGGCUGCAUCGUGCAGGAACUCUCCGAACGACAGAACCAAAUAAACGCUUGGUGGAUCUCCGCAGCAUCCCUGCUCCAUGCUACCAAGUCAGUCCACCCCCAUCCCCCCCCCGGUUCAUCGGCCCAUUUGAAAUCCAAGCCAUUAUCAAUCCUUCCGCGGUCCGUCUGAAACUCCCCUCGUCCACCCACACGACGUUCCACAUGUCACAGCUCAAACCUGUGUCCACCAGUGCUCUGUACAACCUGUAUACCGGAUACUGUCUCCUGUGGUCUUGUUAUUGGGUCCAAACCUUGAACUCCUAUGACAGUAAUAGGUUUUCACUAUGAUGCGCAAAA